CAGGGCGUAGCUUAGCUGGCCUAAAGCGCAGGACUGGGGGUCCUGAGACCGGAGGUUCAAAUCCUCUCGCCCUGACCA
Molecule: transfer RNA, 78 nt
Filed under: Patescibacteria group bacterium
Lineage: Bacteria
Also listed under: 1 other name
Description: tRNA-Pro
Rfam family: tRNA
About the family: Transfer RNA (tRNA) molecules are approximately 80 nucleotides in length. Their secondary structure includes four short double-helical elements and three loops (D, anti-codon, and T loops). Further hydrogen bonds mediate the characteristic L-shaped molecular structure. tRNAs have two regions of fundamental functional importance: the anti-codon, which is responsible for specific mRNA codon recognition, and the 3' end, to which the tRNAs corresponding amino acid is attached (by aminoacyl-tRNA synthetases). tRNAs cope with the degeneracy of the genetic code in two manners: having more than one tRNA (with a specific anti-codon) for a particular amino acid; and 'wobble' base-pairing, i.e. permitting non-standard base-pairing at the 3rd anti-codon position.
Source: RNAcentral